CAGUAGCCGCGGUAAUACGAAGGGGGCUAGCGUUGUUCGGAAUUACUGGGCGUAAAGGGCGCGUAGGCGGCCAUUCAAGUUAGAUGUGAAAGCCCUGGGCUCAACCUAGGAAUUGCAUUUGAUACUGUUUGGCUUGAGUUCGGGAGAGGUGAGUGGAACUGCGAGUGUAGAGGUGAAAUUCGUAGAUAUUCGCAAGAACACCAGUGGCGAAGGCGGCUCACUGGUCCGGUACUGACGCUGAGGUGCGAAAGCGUGUGGAGCAAACAGGAUUAGAUACCCCAGUAGUCCCUGUCUCUUAUAC
RNAcentral lists this ribosomal RNA (301 nucleotides) under uncultured bacterium. Its description in RNAcentral is "partial 16S ribosomal RNA". It matches the Rfam family "Bacterial small subunit ribosomal RNA", at positions 509 to 807 of the family's 1533-position model. The record is from RNAcentral.